GAGAGUUUGAUCCUGGCUCAGAUUGAACGCUAGCGGGAUGCCUUACACAUGCAAGUCGAACGGCAGCACGGACUUCGGUCUGGUGGCGAGUGGCGAACGGGUGAGUAAUGUAUCGGAACGUGCCUAGUAGCGGGGGAUAACUACGCGAAAGCGUAGCUAAUACCGCAUACGCCCUACGGGGGAAAGCAGGGGAUCGCAAGACCUUGCACUAUUAGAGCGGCCGAUAUCGGAUUAGCUAGUUGGUGGGGUAACGGCUCACCAAGGCGACGAUCCGUAGCUGGUUUGAGAGGACGACCAGCCACACUGGGACUGAGACACGGCCCAGACUCCUACGGGAGGCAGCAGUGGGGAAUUUUGGACAAUGGGGGAAACCCUGAUCCAGCCAUCCCGCGUGUGCGAUGAAGGCCUUCGGGUUGUAAAGCACUUUUGGCAGGAAAGAAACGUCAUGGGCUAAUACCCCGUGAAACUGACGGUACCUGCAGAAUAAGCACCGGCUAACUACGUGCCAGCAGCCGCGGUAAUACGUAGGGUGCAAGCGUUAAUCGGAAUUACUGGGCGUAAAGCGUGCGCAGGCGGUUCGGAAAGAAAGAUGUGAAAUCCCAGAGCUUAACUUUGGAACUGCAUUUUUAACUACCGAGCUAGAGUGUGUCAGAGGGAGGUGGAAUUCCGCGUGUAGCAGUGAAAUGCGUAGAUAUGCGGAGGAACACCGAUGGCGAAGGCAGCCUCCUGGGAUAACACUGACGCUCAUGCACGAAAGCGUGGGGAGCAAACAGGAUUAGAUACCCUGGUAGUCCACGCCCUAAACGAUGUCAACUAGCUGUUGGGGCCUUCGGGCCUUGGUAGCGCAGCUAACGCGUGAAGUUGACCGCCUGGGGAGUACGGUCGCAAGAUUAAAACUCAAAGGAAUUGACGGGGACCCGCACAAGCGGUGGAUGAUGUGGAUUAAUUCGAUGCAACGCGAAAAACCUUACCUACCCUUGACAUGUCUGGAAUUCCGAAGAGAUUUGGAAGUGCUCGCAAGAGAACCGGAACACAGGUGCUGCAUGGCUGUCGUCAGCUCGUGUCGUGACAUGUUGGGUUAAGUCCCGCAACGAGCGCAACCCUUGUCAUUAGUUGCUACGAAAGGGCACUCUAAUGAGACUGCCGGUGACAAACCGGAGGAAGGUGGGGAUGACGUCAAGUCCUCAUGGCCCUUAUGGGUAGGGCUUCACACGUCAUACAAUGGUCGGGACAGAGGGUCGCCAUCCCGCGAGGGGGAGCCAAUCCCAGAAACCCGAUCGUAGUCCGGAUCGCAGUCUGCAACUCGACUGCGUGAAGUCGGAAUCGCUAGUAAUCGCGGAUCAGCAUGUCGCGGUGAAUACGUUCCCGGGUCUUGUACACACCGCCCGUCACACCAUGGGAGUGGGUUUUACCAGAAGUAGUUAGCCUAACCGUAAGGGGGGCGAUUACCACGGUAGGAUUCAUGACUGGGGUGAAGUCGUAACAAGGUAGCCGUAG
This 1497-nucleotide ribosomal RNA is filed under the name Achromobacter xylosoxidans. RNAcentral describes it as "bacterial SSU rRNA". It matches the Rfam family "Bacterial small subunit ribosomal RNA". Lineage: Bacteria; Pseudomonadati; Pseudomonadota; Betaproteobacteria; Burkholderiales; Alcaligenaceae. The record is from RNAcentral.